AUGAAACGACCAAUGAGCACUCGACCAAUGACCAAACCCACCCAUGCGCUGGAUGAUGAGGACAUCAAUACAAAUGUUACACCCACAGCUCCUGCUGCUAUACAUACUGGACCAAUUACUAGAGCUCGCGCACGCCAACUAAAUUACCAGGUACUUUCGUUUCUUGGUAAUGAUUCUAAUGUUCAUGAGAAUAUGAUGCUGCCUAAAUUGGAUACAUUUGUUUUGCUUAUAAAUGAAGGGCCUAGCUUGGAGAAGGAUGAACAUUGGAGCAAGAACAAGCAUGGAGAUGAUGGCAUGCGCAAGGGGAACAAGAACGGAGUUACAAGUGAUGAUUUCAGGACUUUGAAGCCACCAUAA
This 357-nucleotide ribosomal RNA is filed under the name Triticum aestivum (bread wheat). RNAcentral describes it as "partial small subunit ribosomal RNA". Lineage: Eukaryota; Viridiplantae; Streptophyta; Magnoliopsida; Poales; Poaceae. The record is from RNAcentral.